This is a long non-coding RNA of Alligator sinensis (Chinese alligator), 715 nucleotides long. RefSeq lists it as uncharacterized. The transcript has 3 exons. The record is from RefSeq and is a predicted model, not a curated record. Lineage: Eukaryota; Metazoa; Chordata; Crocodylia; Alligatoridae.
UUCAACUGCUUGGUAGGUCACUUUAAAGCCCUUUUUUCCUUUGGCAGCUUACAGCUGCUUUAUUCUCCAUUUGUACCUUUUGCCUCACAUCUGUUCCUGCCUCCGCUGUCACCAGGGCAAUCUUCUUGCCUCUGCACGUGCCUCUGGUCUCAGGCUGUAGGUUCCAGACCUCCAUGUAGGUUAAGUUUCCAUUUUUCCUGCUGGCAAGACAAGACAUGGAUUUGGGUUCCUGCCAAGAGAGAACUUACACAGACCCUGUCUAGACCAGUCUAUUCAAUUCCUUACAGGGACAGAUGGUCUUCAUGACUCAUUAGAGGUCCAUUCCUAUCCAAAUGAUUCUAACGUUCUCUGCCUACUUCAUUAACUUCCCCAGUAAAGCUUUCCAGCCAUGCUUGCUAUUCUGCUGAUUGCUCUGUGUUCAGCACGACUGAGACAGCUUCUGUUCAGGAGAGAAAUGCAGUGAGGACAACAGCCUGUGCAGCAGUGGACCUGAGGAGAAAUUUGGGACAGAGCCAUGAUCUCACUCCCAUGAAUCAAACUGAUUUAAUCCUGAACAAUAUUCUCCAGCAUGCCAUACAAUGAUGGGCUCUGCCAGCCAGCCAGAGCAUGCCCAGCCUGAUAUGUGAGCAAUUUCAGACCCCGCCAACAUGCUAAUCUGCUGAGGAGAAGCCAAACCCUCUUGCUGUUAGAACUGCUCCUGGCACAAAAUAAGAUG